GUGCCUUGCCGCUGCCCGAACGCUCAGUGGCCGCACAUGCCUGGUCGUGGCCAGGCGUUGUUUAGGGGUCACUAGCUUCACACGCUUUUCUGGCACGCGAUCAGAUUUCACUAUGUCCACAGUUUCCCCCUGUGCACACCGCUCCCUUCUGGCCCUUCCCUCUCCUCCCCUGCGAGGAGGGCGUGCCCAGCACUCACUGAACUUUUGAACGCUGGGGGUUCAGCGCUGGCCGGGGAUAUGCUCAGGUGGGGAGGAACCGGCCAGCAGCGUGGCCGGGACUGUGAUGCUUUAGUCCACGCACCGGACAGACCUGAGGCUGCAGCGCUGGCUGAUGUGGCUUUGUCUGUGGGACUGGUCUGUCACGUGUGUCUGACCCCCAGUGUCCCCACAGGAGCACUGUAUCACAACGCUGCUGCCUCAGACAGAAGGGCCCCGGACCUUAAGGACCUUGUUUUUAGUUCCACUGUAGGUACAGACCGGAUCCUUCUUUUUGACUCCCAUUUGUAGUUACACCCAAAGGUCAACUGGAGGGUGCCGUCUAUGUCCUGGCCUCACGGCUCUGUCAAGUCCACAUCCGCACCUGCCAGGUGGGUGUCAGGAAAGGUCACUGUGCACAUCGGAGACCUUGCUUUCAGCUUCCCUUGUCUGUCACCGGGUGCUUCCAGAUCAUUCACACUCUGUUCCUGUUGACAGGAGAAAAAGGAGAUUUGAAUUUGCAUCGUGCAGUGAGCCUGUUCUGUCACUGGGUGGGCUCUACUGCAGUCCCUCCCCAGGUUUCCGAUUACAGCUUUGGUAGUGGUGCUCUGGGCAUGUGACUUCUCACUGCUGGAACUUGGUGAAUGGGAUGUGCAGAAUAUUAUCUAGGAAUGAAGAAGAGGCAUCGUGUUGGGGAACCAGCUCAAGGAUGGCAUUACCAGACCUGGUCUUAGGUCUAAUGGGUGGAGCUGAAUGAAGCGGUUGGUUCCAUAGGUCAAAAGCAGCCCAGUGUGAACCAUCCCACCUUUUCAUCCUGCUGAAUGUAUGCAGAGUCACGGAGUCUUUCACUGAGAGAGCAUGGCUGGGCUGUCAUUUUAUCAGUGUCGACAGCCUCUCUCAUUCCUUUUCAGUCACCUAUUCAGACUCAGUUACAACAAAUACUUGUUGAAAGUGUUAGGGAACCUCUCUGAGGUCCGCCUCAGUGAGGACCCCAGGGAGUCCAGUGCCUACACCUGCUUGAACUCAUCACUCUCUUUGUUUUCUCAUUUUUUUUUAGUUGUAGAUGGACACAAUACCUUUAUUUAUUUAUUUCAUGUUGAGGAUCCAACCCUGUGCCUCACACAUGCCAGGCAAGUGCUCUACCACUGAGCCCCAGCCCCAGCCUGAACUGGUCAUUCUUGGAAUCUCAUCUCUGAAAACCCUCAGAGGAGCGAUGGCACAGACAGCUAACGGAAGCAAAGACCAGCAUGGGAGGGCCUAUGUGCCCUGCAGAGGAGUGUAGGAUACUGUCACACAGUGUCUCCCAAAGUGGAAGAGCCUUGGGGAGUCUCCCACCUGCCCGGAGGCGGCUUGACCUAGGGCAGAGGGAAGUGGGAUGAUAGCUUCCCCAAGGAUGUGCACAAGGAAAGCAUACACAGCGAGCUGCGUCUCUUCAUUAUGCAGAAUGCUUACUGACCUCUCAAAUGGGAGAGCAACUGGCAGUCACCUUCCCUCAGCAGGUCCUGAUGUUUUGCUUAUCACACAGAAGGCCACUGCCAGUCCCCGUAAACCCUGGGGGAAGGGUGCACACCUGCAGGCCCGCUCCUCCUGCUAGUUGUCCCUGGAAAGGCCUUUUCCUUAUUCUCAGAAAUGGAAGGUCUUUCCGCUGGGAAUUCAUGCCGUCCCCCUCCCUCUGCCAGAUAGCUUUCCCAAUCACUUUCUGACACGCUGCACACACUGUUGUGGAAUUCCUGGGAAAUGCAGUGUUGGGGAAGUCCAGGAGUAACCUGAAGCCCUGUCCUGGUGUGUGGUCACAGGGGAUGCUGAGGGACAGGCUGCUGUGUGGGUUGGGCCAUGACUCAGCCCAGCACAGCCUCCCACCCACCAUCCAGCAAUGCUCUGUCCAGGGGGUGGAAGAGAUCGCUGGCCACAGCAAUAAGCAUGAGGUCAAGCUGCAGACCGUGAAGAUCAGGAACAUGUGCGGCCCCCAACGGCUCCAGGGGGACUCCAGCUGAGUCAUCCAAGGUGACACAGGUCAAAAUGAGGACACAACUGCCUGUCUCGCUCAGAAGUGUAUGCGAACAUCAGUGUCUGACACAGAAUCUGAGCUGGCUGUGCUCACUGGCUUUUUAAACACUGCUUCUGCAAAUACAGAGGACCACAGACUUUGGAAAAUGAAUGUCAUUUUCUUCUUGGAAUGGAAGUGGCUCUUACUUCCACUCACCCAGAAAGGCAGAGCUCAGGUGUCUGGAAGACAGGACUGCUGGGCUCGCCACAGCUGCUUGCAUGUCCUCCAACCCAGUGUCACUAAAUGGCCUCCUGAACUGUGUCACUCCACUGGACCUCCCCUGUCCUGCAGCAGGGCUGGCAGUGUGAGCUGGCUCAGGCAAGGGUGGGCAGUCCCACCGUGGCCCCCACAGGCAUGGCACAGCCACCCAGCCGAUGGGGCCUGCCUCCACCCUCCAUGAAGCUGGUGCUGGACACACCACUGUAGACACCUUGAGGCCUGUGCUGAUUGUCCUGAGGGCUGAGAUGCUGGCCUCUGCUGCCCCCGUACCAGGGCCAGAGCUGCACUACUGAAACCGCUUCCCCAGCAUGGGGGGGCACCUGACUGACAUGAUCUCCCAGAGCCUUGCAAAGAGCCAGCAGCAUCCGGCAUCCUGCCCCACACGAAGGAACGAAGAAGGCAGAGGCUGUUAAGACAAAAAGUCCUCCUUCUUUUUUGGGGGGUGACCCAAUGCUGGGAUUUUCCCUUGAGGUAGAUGGGCAGAGUCAGCUCACUGACCAGCCCUGGGAGGAGGUGAUGAGCUCCACAGGCUUCUCCCAGGGAAGGUGGCCUGAGCUUUCUGACCUGCACACUGCUCUUCCUGCUUGGCCACGCACAGGAAGCAGGCUAGUCCUGCAAUUCUAUGCUGUGCUUCAUCCUUGAAAUUCACCAUGUUUCUUAUUUAACCUAAGGGGCAAUGUAAGAUUUCAAGCCUGCACAAUAGAGAUGUUUAAAAAAAAAAAAGUUCUCUGAGACCUCAGCAGCAACCCUGCUAAGACCCUUAGCAUCAAAUCUCUCUGGACUAGAGGCUGGGACCGCCCCCCCAACACACACACACACACACACACACACACACACACACAGGCUGGCUCUGAAUCAGUCCCUCCGGGAGGCUUCUGUGCACAGGACAGAUACCCCAGCUGCUCCUGUGGAGGGUGGAACUGCAGGAAAGUCCCCCAGCAUCACUCCUGGAGUGUGUCACAGCCCUGGGACCAGACUCACACGGGCUCUGGCUGAGAGGGCUUCCAGGGAUGGGGAUGAGGAGCCAAAGUAUCCUUCUGCAUUGAAAGUAGGAGGUCGUACAAGUUUCAACUAGAUAUGAUUUACAUAGCAUUCUCCCCUGGAGAACAUGACUUUUUUCUGGACCUUAUACAUGCCUGAACAAAAAUAUUUUGAAGUUUCCUCACUAUUCAUAGGAAUUAAAAAUACAAAAUUACUUCCCUAUGUGCACAUUUAAUGUGGAUGUUAGCUUAUUCAAAAUUAAAUAUAAAAUUUCAUUAUGCCAGUUGCUAUGAAGAAGCUUCCUUUCAGUCACAGGGAAUUAAUUCUUUGGUUGUUAA
Molecule: long non-coding RNA, 3780 nt
Filed under: Marmota monax (woodchuck)
Lineage: Eukaryota; Metazoa; Chordata; Mammalia; Rodentia; Sciuridae
Source: RNAcentral